CAUCCAAGGUAAUAUUAAUGUUUGUUUUAGAAAUUUGCAACUUAACAAAACACGAAGGAAAUUGAGUGUAACUUGUUAUUUGUACUAGUAAGGAAAUAGUUACUACUAGUAUGGAGCAAUAAUUGACCUCUGUUGAGGUUAUUUUUUAUUGCAGAUACAUCUUCCAGUAAAUUAUGUGCAGCAGCUUCUUCAAAACCAGACUCCUCGUUCAACUAUGCAGCUAUUUUUGCAUAUUCUUCAUAUUGUAUAAUUCACGAAUUGCUUUCCUAAAAAACAUAUGAAACAAACUCAACUCAAUGUUAUUACGAUAUUUACAUGAAAAAUAAAUAAUGUAUUAUUUUU
Melitaea cinxia (Glanville fritillary) is the source of this 342-nucleotide long non-coding RNA. RefSeq lists it as uncharacterized. The record is from RefSeq and is a predicted model, not a curated record. Lineage: Eukaryota; Metazoa; Arthropoda; Insecta; Lepidoptera; Nymphalidae. The transcript has 2 exons.